UGAAAAAACCCUCAAUAAACCACAUAAGUUUCUCCCCCCUUUGCCUCCAAAACUUUUUCACCAAAUAAUUCCUUCCCUCUUUUUAGUCUUAGUCUCAUCAAUUGGUGGCACAAACCUGUUUUCUGAGCCCCAAAAUUUCUUGUAAUUUGGGGCGCAAUCCAAUUAUUUCCUUGACAUAACGUCGAUUUUGGGUCAAAAAAAUUUGGCAGAAUCUACUACAAAUUUUGAAUUCUUCUUCAAGCCAUCUUCAAGGUAUUCUUUUUUUAUGACUGUGGGUGUUCGGGCCAACUUACGAGCACCUUGACUAAUCCCACGGGCCCUGUACUUUACAGUCGGGAUACUUACCUCAGUGGCCCUAAGAGGACUCAAACUAGUGACCAUUGAAGAGCAAACCCAAAGCAAGCUACCUCUUAGGGUUAAUGUUCUUCAUUGGUCAUAAACGAUGGCUUUAUUGGAAGACUCAUUUUUCAGAUACAGGACGGAUUUGAAGUAGGCAACUAUGAAGGGAUUUGGAUUACCAACAGAGAGAUAUUCGUUUGAUUUGGGUGGCUCGUUAGUGGGUAAAUCUGUAGCAUAUGAAUUUGAUGUUCAAAUUGAUAAUAAAGUUCUUCCACUUAAGCUUAUGGAAUAUAGAGAAUGUGAACUAAUUGAAGCAAGUAGAUUUACCCAUUUUUUGAGUAGACAUAAGGAAAGUGAAUAGGUGGAAAGUCGGCGACUGGACCAUCAGAUGCUUGUCUUGGCGCCUGUUCCAGUUGGUUGGUCCAAUGAAAUUGUGGAUUCAGGAUACGAAGAAUAUAAGGAUUUCACUACUGGUUCAGGGUUGGGGCAAGACAGUGGUGCUAGGGGUGGACAAACCUAGAGGAGAGCUGAAAUUCAGUUCAUUUGAAGCUCAUUAUUCUGGGAUAACUUAAACAGGAUCAACUGUAUAUUUAAUUCUUGAGGAUAAAGAGAUAUAUAUUUUUUAGGUGCAUUAUAAUUGAUACAUAGCAUGUUUGCUGUACUCUUUUAUAUUUAGAUGUAACCAUGGUGAAUAGUUGUCAUUUGUGUUUCGAUAAAAUAUUUUGUAUUCAA
Molecule: long non-coding RNA, 1071 nt
Organism: Olea europaea var. sylvestris
Lineage: Eukaryota; Viridiplantae; Streptophyta; Magnoliopsida; Lamiales; Oleaceae
Exons: 4
Source: RefSeq, a predicted model, not a curated record